AAGUCGUAACAAGGUUUCCGUAGGUGAACCUGCGGAAGGAUCAUUACAGGGUUAUGCCGAGCACCCUUUCAGCUUCUCUCUGAAGCCCCCGAAAGGGCUCUGGCAGCCACGAUCAUCCACUGUGUGCACUCAUUGAACCAUGCUUUGGCAGACUCCUUUUCUCUCCUCGCCUAAGGGGGGAAAGCCACCGGGGGGGGCCCCGCCCCCCCCCCACGGUCUGCCAGAGGUUUUUACUUAAAUAUAGCCUGAUUGUCUGUCUGAAUAUUUUUUUUUGAUCGAAACAAAAAUACAACUUUCAACAACGGAUCUCUUGGCUCUC
RNAcentral lists this unclassified non-coding RNA (319 nucleotides) under fungal sp. RNAcentral describes it as "partial internal transcribed spacer region". The stretch from base 1 to 46 matches the Rfam family "Eukaryotic small subunit ribosomal RNA", at positions 1786 to 1831 of the family's 1831-position model. Lineage: Eukaryota; Fungi. The record is from RNAcentral.